Molecule: ribosomal RNA, 415 nt
Filed under: uncultured prokaryote
Description: bacterial SSU rRNA
Rfam family: Bacterial small subunit ribosomal RNA
Source: RNAcentral
GUGUCAGCCGCCGCGGUAAUACGGAGGGUGCGAGCGUUAAUCGGAAUUACUGGGCGUAAAGCGUGCGUAGGCGGUUCGUUAAGUCAGAUGUGAAAGCCCUGGGCUCAACCUGGGAACUGCAUUUGAAACUGGCGGACUAGAGUUUAGUAGAGGGGAGUGGAAUUUCAGGUGUAGCGGUGAAAUGCGUAGAUAUCUGAAGGAACACCAGUGGCGAAGGCGACUCCCUGGACUAGAACUGACGCUGAGGUACGAAAGCGUGGGUAGCAAACAGGAUUAGAUACCCUGGUAGUCCACGCCGUAAACGAUGUCAACUAGCCGUUGGUCCUAUUUACAGGAUUAGUGGCGCAGCUAACGCAUUAAGUUGACCGCCUGGGGAGUACGGCCGCAAGGUUAAAACUCAAAUGAAUUGGCGGGG